ACAACCAAUACCUGCUCACACGAGAAGAUAACUCUGCAAUACGCAAAGACGGAAUAUCAGUAUAUGACUUCAUGAUACCAAGCUUAAUUUUGAGACAACAUUGAUAUGAUGUAGAUCAGUCACUAGUAGAUAGUCAUGUGCAAUAAUACAAUUAAUUAUUUAACCUAGUUCUCAGGAAUCUAGUUAGUAAUUUAAUAACAAUUACAUAUGUUCUGUAUAGUUCGAAAACGUUUACUUGAUGAUAUGUCAGUAUGGGAAACGUAUAUAAGACAUAUAUUUCAUGUUAUGUGAUAUUUAUCAGAUUAAAAUAAGGGAAGAAAAUUAUAAUCGCGAAGAAAAGGUUACCUCUUAUUUUUCAGUUAGAGAAACGUAAAGAAGACAAAUAUCUCAAGAAAAGUAUCAUUUGAUGUUCGUUAGAAUUACAAAUGUGAAGGAAAUGUUAAUGGCGAAAAUAAUUUAUCUGACAUUUGUCAGCAUGAGAAACGUGAAGGUGAUGUAAAGGUGAUGCAGUGUAAACACAUUGUAUGUGAGGUUUGUUGGAAUAAGAAACGUGAAGGUGAUGUAAACGUGAUGUAAAGGUGAUGUAGUGGAGACACAUUGUAUGUGAGGUUUGUUGGAAUAAGAAACGUGAAAGAAUUGCAGAUAGAGAGAAUAAUUUUACCUUGUGUAUAUCAGUAUUGAGAAAUGUAAAUGUGAUGCUUAUCUCUAGGAUUGUGUUAUUAACAAAUAAUUCCUGUUUUACUAUGAUUCAUGUCAAUAAACUUUUUUGAAGAGGUUUAUUUCGAGAAAAUUUGCAUAACAUGUACACUCGCUAAGAUGUACCACAUUAAGGUAGAGGGUCCCAUCAUAUUUACAACUGUAAACUGGCAUUGAAAAGUGUUGUUUCUGUUAAAAUGUUAAUUCCUAUACAGUUAUGCUAAGAAUAUUAAAAACAAGUGUUCACGACAAAUACGUGCAUUUUGUUAUUGAAGAAUUCGUGGAAAAGGAUUUUAUGAAUUAUGUCCUCAACACAACUUAAUACUGUUGAACAACAGUGACGACUGCGUUGCCCUUUAAGCGAGUGUGACAAUAUUAAUUACGUGAGAAUGUAUUCAUUAAUUGAGUGAGAAAUUGUUCAAUGCAAUGUGGGAUACCUUUCAUCCCAAUUUCAUAAUAACAGAAUUAAUAUGGCGUAUAAACGAUUAAGUUAUUUUAAGUUUCUGGGA
Molecule: long non-coding RNA, 1205 nt
Organism: Mizuhopecten yessoensis (Yesso scallop)
Lineage: Eukaryota; Metazoa; Mollusca; Bivalvia; Pectinida; Pectinidae
Exons: 2
Source: RefSeq, a predicted model, not a curated record